Molecule: ribosomal RNA, 506 nt
Filed under: uncultured bacterium
Lineage: Bacteria
Description: partial 16S ribosomal RNA
Rfam family: Bacterial small subunit ribosomal RNA
Source: RNAcentral
AGUGAACGCUGGCGGUAGGCCUAACACAUGCAAGUCGAACGGCAGCACAGGAGAGCUUGCUCUCUGGGUGGCGAGUGGCGGACGGGUGAGGAAUACAUCGGAAUCUACUCUGUCGUGGGGGAUAACGUAGGGAAACUUACGCUAAUACCGCAUACGACCUACGGGUGAAAGCAGGGGACCUUCGGGCCUUGCGCGAUUGAAUGAGCCGAUGUCGGAUUAGCUAGUUGGCGGGGUAAAGGCCCACCAAGGCGACGAUCCGUAGCUGGUCUGAGAGGAGGAUCAGCCACACUGGAACUGAGACACGGUCCAGACUCCUACGGGAGGCAGCAGUGGGGAAUAUUGGACAAUGGGCGCAAGCCUGAUCCAGCCAUACCGCGUGGGUGAAGAAGGCCUUCGGGUUGUAAAGCCCUUUUGUUGGGAAAGAAAUCCAGCUGGCUAAUACCCGGUUGGGAUGACGGUACCCAAAGAAUAAGCACCGACUAACUUCGUGCCAGCAGCCGCGGUAA